CAAAGCCUUGGUCCUGGCCUUUAUAUUGAUUCUUAGUAAAUUUACACAUGCAAGCAUCCCCUCCCCAGUGAGAAUGCCCUCUAGUCCAAAUGCAGGUCAAAAGGAGCAGAUAUCAAGCACGCUACCAACAUGCAGCUCACAACAUCUUGCUAAACCACACCCCCACGGGAUACAGCAGUGAUAAAAAUUAAGCAAUAAACGAAAGUUUGACUUAGUUAUACUAAGUUAGGGUUGGUAAAUUUCGUGCCAGCCACCGCGGUCAUACGAUUAACCCAAAUCAAUAAUAUCCGGCGUAAAGCGUGUUUAGGUAUAAAACCAAAAUAAAGUUAAACCAAAGCUAAGCUGUAAAAAGCCCUAGCACAGGUAAAAGACGCAACGAAAGUGACUUUAAAAUAUCCGACUACACGAUAGCUAAGACCCAAACUGGGAUUAGAUACCCCACUAUGCUUAGCCAUAAACCAAAACAUUUAAUUAACAAAAAUGUUCGCCAGAGUACUACUAGCAACAGCCUGAAACUCAAAGGACUUGGCGGUGCUUCAUAUCCACCUAGAGGAGCCUGUUCUGUAAUCGAUAUACCCCGAUAAACCUCACCACCCCUUGCCAAUACAGCCUAUAUACCGCCAUCUCCAGCAAACCCUAAAAAGGUAAUAUAGUAAGCACAACUAUUAUCACAAAUACGUUAGGUCAAGGUGUAGCCUAUGGAGUGGGAAGAAAUGGGCUACAUUUUCUAACUUAAGAAUAUACUUAUACGAAAGGCUUUAUGAAAUUUAAAGCCAGAAGGAGGAUUUAGCAGUAAAUUUAAGAAUAGAGAGCUUAAUUGAACCCGGCCAUGAAACACGCACACACCGCCCGUCACCCUCCUCAACCAAUCAUACUCACCAACUACAUAAAGCCAUAAGAGUAUACUUUUUCUAGAGGAGAUAAGUCGUAACAAGGUAAGCAUACUGGAAAGUGUGCUUGGUAUAAU
Molecule: non-coding RNA, 967 nt
Filed under: Cyclopes didactylus (silky anteater)
Lineage: Eukaryota; Metazoa; Chordata; Mammalia; Pilosa; Cyclopedidae
Description: 12S ribosomal RNA
Rfam family: Bacterial small subunit ribosomal RNA
Source: RNAcentral